UACGUAGGAGGCGAGCGUUGUCCGGAGUUACUGGGCGUAAGGCGUGCGCAGGCGGUUUUGCAAGCCGGAUGUGAAAUCCCCGGGCUCAACCUGGGAAUGGCAUUCGGGACUGCAAGGCUGGAGUGCGGCAGAGGAGACUGGAAUUCCUGGUGUAGCAGUGAAAUGCGUAGAUAUCAGGAGGAAUACCGAUGGCGAAGGCAGGUCUCUGGGCUGACACUGACGCUCAUGCACGAAAGCGUGGGGAGCAAACAGG
RNAcentral lists this ribosomal RNA (253 nucleotides) under uncultured bacterium. RNAcentral's name for it is "partial 16S ribosomal RNA". It matches the Rfam family "Bacterial small subunit ribosomal RNA", at positions 524 to 776 of the family's 1533-position model. The record is from RNAcentral.